RNAcentral lists this ribosomal RNA (288 nucleotides) under Cambarus batchi. Its description in RNAcentral is "partial 12S ribosomal RNA". The record is from RNAcentral. Lineage: Eukaryota; Metazoa; Arthropoda; Malacostraca; Decapoda; Cambaridae.
UGUUUUAGUCUAGUUAGAGGAACCUGUUUUAUAAAUGAUACGACACGCAUUAUCUUACUUGCUUUGGCGACCUAGCUUGUAUACCGUCAUUAUAAGAUAAUUUGGGAGAAAACAUUGUUAGAAUCAUAUUAUUGAAUAUAUUAGAUCAAGGUGCAGCUUAUAGGUAAGUAAACAUGGGUUACAAUAAGAUUUAUUUAACACGAAUUAGAUAUUUAAAUAUCUCUAUGAAGGAGGAUUUAAUUGUAAGAGAAGAAAUAAUAAGAUUUUCUGAUAAAAGCUCUAAAUUAU